Passer domesticus (house sparrow) is the source of this 2264-nucleotide long non-coding RNA. RefSeq lists it as uncharacterized. Lineage: Eukaryota; Metazoa; Chordata; Aves; Passeriformes; Passeridae. The transcript is spliced from 7 exons. The record is from RefSeq and is a predicted model, not a curated record.
UUUUUUUCCUUUUUCUUACGCUCUUCUUCUUCCUCCCAGUUCUCCAAGUAGGACCUGAGAAUGACAUUUAGCUGCUGCUCACACUGGCUUGCGUGUUGUAAGCCAUUUUCCCAUCCUGAAAGCAGCAAUAAACAGGGUAAUUACAUCUCUCUCUACAGCAUCCAUCACAGAAUCAGCCCCUGGCAGUGCCAGCAUAUAGUUUCCCAAGAGUAUUGACUGGCUGUGGUAUUUCUGGUUGGAAAAUGGCUCUGUGGAGUUCAAUCAUCAACAAGAUGCUUUCUUUGAUGUCAGCCAAGCAGGAAAUACCAGCACAAUUAUCACUACAGUGGAAGAGCAUUAUUGGUUUUGGAGGAAGAACCCAUAAAAGCCUCAGCAACCCACCCCAGCAGUAUCCUGUCCACAGCAACAUUGGUGGAAGAAGCAAUGAGGAGUUUCCAUGGAACUGCCCUCGGACCCUCUGUAGCUUCACUGCUUUCAAAGAGCUGCACGAGGAACAGGAUCACCACAGACAGCAAGUAGCUCUUGCCAGCUCCAAAAACACCUGGUAUUUUGGAGGAAAAAGCUCAAGUUACAAGUGAGAAUUUCCAAGAAAGUUUGAAUCAAUUGUUUUAACUUCAGUUAUGUUGUGAUUCCUCUAAAAAAUUGCAUGGGAUUGCUUACACUUACAAAAACAAAGAUAAUACAUGGAAAAAAAAUGGUAUGAAAUAUGAAAAAAGCUGAAAACAAUAAAUAACUCUGAUUUUGUGUAUAGGUAUUUCUAGGUACAACCUCCUAUGCUUCAGUGAAAUCCUGCAAAAGGCAGAAUGAAAUUUUAAUUUAAUUUAAAGGGGCAAAAGCUCUGUGCUGACAGAAUGGAGGUAUUAAUGUCACAGUCAUUAUGAGAGGGGCUGAUUCUGGCAUUCCAUAUUAACGGCAUUUCCCAUUAAUCAACGCAGAUAGAGUAGCAGCAGAUGUCACAAUUCCUGGCUGCGUACCACGUAUGAUUGUGAUGGGGCAGCUCUGAUGUUCCUGCCCUGGUGUGGGGUUUUCACAGGUCAUCAUCUGAGCUACGUGAGCCAGUGCUGCUGCUUGGUCUGCGUUCAGGGAGAACCUUUGGAUCAUCUCUUCAGCCACUCCCACUGCCACUUCCGAGCUCACAGGGCCAGACGUCACGGAGCAUUUCACACUCAGGGCAGAAAGAAACCUUUACUCUUUAAAUGUAGAGAAAACGUGUUAAAUUCUGCUGAAGCCCUGAGCUACUGGAAUAUUUAUAAAGCUUGAAUUCACACAGCACUUGAGAGAAGUGCACAGCAUUUGAAGAUACCUCACCAAAAGCUGGCAUUCCUCAUAGACAGCAAUCUUUUGACUCCUGAGUGCAGUGAACAAAGGAGCAGAAAAAACCAAGUCACGCCUUGCAAAGUUCUAUGACAAAGGCUGUUCAGCUAAAUUUGGAAGGCUUUGAGCAUUCCAGUCCUUUGUAUCAUUUACAUUUCCCUGCACAAAAGGCAGGUGCUGAGUAUCUGGAAGGAGUUCUUUAGCAGAGUCGCCUGAAAAAACAGCUGUCACCGCAGGGAGCUGAGAGCAGCGAGGACACAGACGUUUGUUCCCUGCCAUUGUCCCUACAGCCCUCUUCCUGAGUGCCUGCAGAGGGAUUUGUUCCUGCGUCCUUCCUGCGAACCGUGGAAAACAACGGAGAGCUGAUAUAAAACUGGGAUGGAAAACCCCCUUGGCACUCCUUGGAUGAAGGCAACACUGCUGGUUUCCCUUCAUCUUCCACAGCUGGUGUUAAAAAUGGGGCACACUACACUGUGAUCAAACGGCCUGAGAAUCUAUUCUGAUCAAACCCACACGAGGAUUCACAGGGGCACAGAAACAACCUCAAGCCCUUCUGACUUCUACUGCAGGCAACACCAAUCCUGCUAAACCCAAUCUCCUAAAUGUGGAAAAAAUACAAUCUGGAUUACAGCUUAAAAAAAAAAAAAAAGAGAGAAAAGAAAAAAAAAAGGAAGAAAUUAUCUAUAUAUUUACCAUUCAUGAAAAUAUGUGUUUUACACUGCAUGUAAUCAUGAGACAUAAAAAACUGGAACAACAACACACCGUAAACUUCCUUUUCAAGCCGACAGGGAGAUGUCUUGGGGGUAGAAGACCAGGUUUGACACCAUUUCUAUUCAUUGCUGGAGUUUCUGCUUUCUUUGGCUGCUCUUCUGAGGGCUUUUCACUCUCUCUGACUGCUUCAACUGUGAUUAAAUAUCGCUCACUUUCGAAAUCCUCUCCAGGAGUCACCU